This 253-nucleotide ribosomal RNA is filed under the name uncultured bacterium. Its description in RNAcentral is "partial 16S ribosomal RNA". It matches the Rfam family "Bacterial small subunit ribosomal RNA", at positions 524 to 776 of the family's 1533-position model. The record is from RNAcentral.
UACGUAGGGAGCAAGCGUUGUCCGGAACCAUUGGGCGUAAAGCGCGCGUAGGUGGCCUCAUAAGUCCGCUGUGAAAGUCAAAGGCUCAACCUUUGAAAGCCGGUGGAUACUGUGAGGCUAGAGUACGGAAGAGGCGAGUGGAAUUCCUGGUGUAGCGGUGGAAUGCGCAGAUAUCAGGAGGAACACCAAUAGCGAAGGCAGCUCGCUGGGACGUUACUGACACUGAGGCGCGAAAGCGUGGGGAGCGAACAGG